This 750-nucleotide ribosomal RNA is filed under the name uncultured archaeon. RNAcentral describes it as "bacterial SSU rRNA". It matches the Rfam family "Archaeal small subunit ribosomal RNA", at positions 161 to 894 of the family's 1478-position model. The record is from RNAcentral.
UGAAGAACUCUGGAAUGAGUCUUUGCCAAAAAGACGUUUACGUUAUGCUCGUAGGCGUCGCCCAAGGAUGAGGCCGCGACCGAUCAGGUUGUUGGUGAGGUAAUGGCUCACCAAGCCUUUUACCGGUGCGGGCCGUGAGAGCGGGAGCCCGGAGAUGGGCACUGAGACAAGGGCCCAGGCCCUACGGGGCGCAGCAGUCGCGAAAACUUUGCAAUACACGAAAGUGUGACAGGGCUAUCCCGAGUGCCAUCCGCUGAGGAAGGCUUUUACCCAGUCUAGAACGCUGGGGGAAUAAGGAGAGGGCAAGUCUGGUGUCAGCCGCCGCGGUAAUACCAGCUCUCCGAGUGGUGUGGAUGUUUAUUGGGCCUAAAGCAUCCGUAGCUGGCUAAGUUAGUCCCCUGUUAAAUCCACCGAAUUAAUCGUUGGAUUGCGGGGGAUACUGCUUGGCUAGGGGACGAGAGAGGCAGACGGUAUUUCCGGGGUAGGGGUGAAAUCCUAUAAUCCCGGGAAGACCACCAGUGGCGAAGGCUGUCUGCUAGAACGCGCCCGACGGUGAGGGAUGAAAGCUGGGGGAGCGAACCGGAUUAGAUACCCGGGUAGUCCCAGCUGUAAACGAUGCAGGCUAGGUGUUUGGACGGCCACGUGCCGUUCUAGUGCCGCAGGGAAGCUGUUAAGCCUGCCGCCUGGGGAGUACGAUCGCAAGAUUGAAACUUAAAGGAAUUGGCGGGGGAGCACCACAAGGGGUGAAGC